This is a long non-coding RNA of Brassica oleracea var. oleracea, 1479 nucleotides long. RefSeq lists it as uncharacterized. The record is from RefSeq and is a predicted model, not a curated record. The transcript has 4 exons. Lineage: Eukaryota; Viridiplantae; Streptophyta; Magnoliopsida; Brassicales; Brassicaceae.
GCAGGAUUAAUUUAAUUGUAAUUUAAAAAAGAAAGAAAAAAUAUAAUUAUCACAGGAGACGUCUCUUAAUUAGGGCGUGAAGAGCCGUGUCUUAGAACACGUGUCGGUAUGAAAAAAAAAUUGGAAGUCUUGUCUCUUCUCUUCCUCUACAUCUCUUCUUCUCUAUCUCUUCCUCUCUGUCUCUCUUCCAUGAUGAAUCCACAAGGCCAUCCCGAACCUGAUUCCGAUCUGAAUUGGUGUUAGAUAUAUGGUGGAUAAAGCAAAGGUUUAGGAAGAGAUCAAAGAGAUUAGAGUUGACGAGGUUUCAUCAACCAACGGAGAGGCCAAUGGAUAUCCCUCUAUUAGUGAGAAGUUUGGUGAUAAAGACCCUGAGAAAGGGGUAGCAGCAGUAGUAGUAGUAAGAAUGGUGAUAGCAGCAGAUCAGGCUCGUUUAAUCACUUGAUUCUUAUAGGAACAGCCAAAACAUAAGUCCUUGUGACAGCUUUAUUUAUUUAUUUUGUUUUAUCUUCUCUUCAUCUGAGGUGAUUGGGUGGUGUGGUGUGAUGCAGGCUUGCUUACCUACACGAGCUUGAGCCAAAAGUGGUGCAUAGAGACAUAAAGUCUAGCAACAUUCUGAUUGAUGACAAAUUCAAUUCUAAGAUCUCUGACUUUCUCCUUUGCGAAGCUGCUUGGCGCUGAUAAAAGCUUUAUAACUACUAGAGUAAUGGGUACCUUUGGGGUUCUUCUAUUCUUACCAAUCAAGAAUCUCAUUCUCACGCUUUCAUGGGCUCUAAUUCGACGUUUAUGACGUCCUCUCACUUAACCAUCUAAGAGAUAAAAAAAAUAUUCAGGAGAAAGAAAGUUUGAUCACUGAACUCAGAAAAGAACUUCGGGGGUCUGAUGAGGAACACAUGGAGCUCUUAUCAAGGGUUAAUGCCGAUGAAAUGAUCAGGCGAAUAAGGAAUGGAGAAAGGGUAACAAUGUUCCUCAGAUGGUUCAUGAUAAUGCUCCGAGUCCAGCCGUUUCAGGAUCACGUAAGAAGCAAAAGACAUCACAAUCAAUGGCCUCGUUAUCGAUGGGCCCUCCAUCUCCUGCUAUGCAACCAUCUUCUUCUGCGCUAAGAAGGGGAGGUCCUUUACCAGGCAUCUUAUCUUUCAUUCCUAUAUAGUCAAGUGACAAUGUGCUUUAGUCAAGUGACAAUGUGCUUUAGUGUCUAGAAUUAAUGGACGUGUUGUUGAUGUAAUUUGCUUGGAUCAUAAGGUUUCAAUCAUAGAAUGAAAGAAAUUAAAAACUCUUAAAUAAGAGACUCCCAUUGAAGCACAAAAUCAAAGUGUUUCUUAGCUAAACUUCUUGAUUACAUUUAAAUACUAAAAUAAUCACUAAGAGACCCUAAGUGGGGUUGUUGUGGGUUAAUGAUGCUCUUAGAAACUCAUAAGGUUUCUUAAAUACACUUUAAUGACUAUUUAACUAUUAAAUUUUAGUUAAAGAUCUUAGUUAAGA